RNAcentral lists this long non-coding RNA (754 nucleotides) under Gallus gallus (chicken). Lineage: Eukaryota; Metazoa; Chordata; Aves; Galliformes; Phasianidae. The record is from RNAcentral.
CAGAACUGGGCAUGGAUGGGUGAUCCACACAGCACUGCAGCCAGACUCAGUCACAGUCUGGACCUGGAUCCUGCCUGCAUCCCCAUCCGUGCUGACCAAGAAGCGCCCAUCUGGUGAGACGUGCGGCGUGCCCAGCACAGCGCCAUUGCUGCCAAUGACGGUGUCGGUGACGCUGUCGAUGAGGAGCUGUGGGGCUGCAGCCCCCCGCCGGUCCCUGCACUGCACCAGGAAGUACCCCCCCAGGUUGGGGGUGGAGAGCAGCUCCGACCAAUGCAUGUAAUUGCUGUGUGACUCAACGUGCCCAACCCUGCGUCCUAAACUGGAGCAUCAGAGGGCAGAACAGACCGUCCCUCCCAGCAGCCUGGAAGGUGGGGAACGUUCUCAGCGAGCAGCAUGAGCAAAGCUUUCAGAUGCACUGAACAAACUACCUUCCCUGUUAUGGAUUUGCAUUUUACUCUGAGGAGAAUGCCAUUGUGCCAUCACCACUGGAAAAGAAUAAAAGGAAGCUGAAGGCUUGUGAGAGGGAAGCAACAGAAUAAACAGUUUAAGGAAAACAAGAAACAACAUUAAAGGCUGUUAAUUACUCCCAAGCAGUCCACCAUGCUCAGCAAGGGAAGGACUCACCUGCAGCGUUGGCGAUGACCGCCGCAUAUCACCCCAGCUCAGCACCCACACCUGGUCAUGGGAUUUGUCGUAAUGCAGUUUGGUUGGCAAUGGGUCCACAUCCACAGACUUGGAAAAAGAAAAAAAGGAG